GUUAUGAUGUCUGUGAACACGUUUACGAUAACUCAAUACGAUGUAUAUAUUCCAGAGGUAAGUUAUGAUAUUGCGGUCUAGUUUAUCUUCCUGCGCUAAUGUUCGAUUAUUUCUUUCAGCUGAGAAUACAUUUCAAAAACUAUUUAAGGUUUCUGAAAAGAUAAAAAGAGGAAAAAAAAUCAUUAUAGGGUUUUAUCCUAAAACAGUAAAACCCACGUGGGUUAUGGACCAUUGCCUAUAUACUAUAACGAAUAAGAUUUUUGUUUUCUGUAACCC
This 276-nucleotide long non-coding RNA is filed under the name Brassica rapa (field mustard). RNAcentral's name for it is "long non-coding RNA (BRAP_LNC007484)". Lineage: Eukaryota; Viridiplantae; Streptophyta; Magnoliopsida; Brassicales; Brassicaceae. The record is from RNAcentral.